GUGCUCCAUUCAGUGGCACAUAUACUAAAAUUGGAACAAAUUAGAGAAGAUUAACAUGGCCCCUGCGCAAGGAUGACACACAAAUUUGUGAAGUGUUCCAUAUUAAA
Molecule: small nuclear RNA, 107 nt
Organism: Diceros bicornis minor
Lineage: Eukaryota; Metazoa; Chordata; Mammalia; Perissodactyla; Rhinocerotidae
Source: RefSeq, a predicted model, not a curated record